RNAcentral lists this long non-coding RNA (213 nucleotides) under Lathyrus oleraceus (garden pea). RNAcentral describes it as "Pisum sativum (pea) long non-coding RNA (PSAT_LNC035363)". The record is from RNAcentral. Lineage: Eukaryota; Viridiplantae; Streptophyta; Magnoliopsida; Fabales; Fabaceae.
CAGUAUUCCCCAGUAGUGCAACAUUGGGAGAAAAAAUUUCCGUCGUGCGGAUAUGGAAGUGAAGAUUGGAGAAUGUUACGCGAUCAGCGCGAGUAUUGAGCAUCAGGAGAAAAGGGGACGCAAAGUGUCUUCUGGAGAGCGGGGUUCAAAUGGAGAACGGGGUUCAUUGUUUGGCAGUAAAAUCAAAGAAGUUUUGGGGGUCCAAGAAAAGAA